GGGGCUUGACUGAGAUUACCUUGGAAAAAAAAGAAAAAAGAAAAAAAUUGAUUGGGGCAAAUGUGCCCUUUGGAUUUGGUUGCUACUAUGAUUAUUAAUUAACCUAACUGUAGAGAUAUCAAGUACAUUUCUCCCUCUUGUUUAUAAGAACCCAUGAGAGACAAGGCCAACUGCAGACACUGGGGAUGUCCUCAUGAUAGUGAGAUGAACUGCCUAGUUCUCUUCCGAUAUCUUUACUUUCCUCCAGUUUUGUUGCUUGCAAAACAACAGAAUCUACUCUCCAUGAAAUCCCCUGUUUCCCAUGCCCGGUUACCAGCAGGUCUUCCAGCUGAGCCUGCUGCACCAGGAUAAAACUGUGGCCACGAGCCAACACUGAACACUGCCACCUGAAGAAGUUGGCUCAAGUGCCGCCUGCUAACAACUGAGUAAGUAAACCUUUGCUGCAGAACCAACCAUGUACGCAGGCAUCUUCUAACAUUUUUC
Molecule: long non-coding RNA, 483 nt
Filed under: Aotus nancymaae (Ma's night monkey)
Lineage: Eukaryota; Metazoa; Chordata; Mammalia; Primates; Aotidae
Description: lncRNA (ENSANAG00000038860.1)
Source: RNAcentral